AGAGUUUGAUCCUGGCUCAGGAUGAACGCUAGCGGCAGGCCUAACACAUGCAAGUCGAGGGGUAACAGGGUAGCAAUAUCGCUGACGACCGGCGCACGGGUGAGUAACGCGUAUGCAACCUUCCUUUAACUGGGGAAUAGCUUUCGGAAACGGAAAUUAAUACCCCAUAAUGUUCUGAUUGGACAUCCUUUUAGAAUUAAAGCUCCGGCGGUUAAAGAUGGGCAUGCGUACCAUUAGCUAGUUGGUGAGGUAACGGCUCACCAAGGCUACGAUGGUUAGGGGGUCUGAGAGGAUGAUCCCCCACACUGGUACUGAGACACGGACCAGACUCCUACGGGAGGCAGCAGUGAGGAAUAUUGGGCAAUGGGCGCAAGCCUGACCCAGCCAUGCCGCGUGAAGGACGAAGGCCCUAUGGGUUGUAAACUUCUUUUAUACGAGACGAAACUUCCGGUCGUGACCGGGAUUGACUGUAUCGUAAGAAUAAGCAUCGGCUAACUCCGUGCCAGCAGCCGCGGUAAUACGGAGGAUGCAAGCGUUAUCCGGAUUCAUUGGGUUUAAAGGGUGCGUAGGCGGGAUAAUAAGUCAGUGGUGAAAGCCUGCGGCUUAACCGUAGAAUUGCCAUUGAUACUGUUAUUCUUGAGUAUAGUUGAGGUGGGCGGAAUGUGUAAUGUAGCGGUGAAAUGCUUAGAUAUUACACAGAACACCAAUUGCGAAGGCAGCUCACUAAGCUGUUACUGACGCUGAGGCACGAAAGCGUGGGGAGCAAACAGGAUUAGAUACCCUGGUAGUCCACGCCGUAA
This 800-nucleotide ribosomal RNA is filed under the name uncultured bacterium. RNAcentral describes it as "bacterial SSU rRNA". It matches the Rfam family "Bacterial small subunit ribosomal RNA", at positions 8 to 805 of the family's 1533-position model. The record is from RNAcentral.